Molecule: long non-coding RNA, 1479 nt
Organism: Salvia splendens (bonfire salvia)
Lineage: Eukaryota; Viridiplantae; Streptophyta; Magnoliopsida; Lamiales; Lamiaceae
Exons: 2
Source: RefSeq, a predicted model, not a curated record
UCCGCCAUUGCGGAUGCUCUAAGAGCACCCGCAACGCAUCCCGCGGGUGUCUCGUAUCUCGUCCCUCUAAGACGAGGCGGCGGCGAGCCAGCUCGCUACGCGUGACGAAGAAUUGGGCUUCAUACAAAUAAAGAAAAAGAUCCUAGCCCAAAUUCAAUAAUAACAACACUGGCUAAUCCAUUAACAUCUAAAAGAAUUGAAGGAAAUUUUUUGGCUACACAAACGACGUCGUUUUAAGAACAAAUAAAAAGUAGAAAAAAGUCGGGUGUUACAACACAUAAACCAAUAUGACCUUUUAGUUUAUAUCCCAUUUGAGUACCCUAAUUCUUGAAAAAUGGAGAAUUUACAUGGAAAUAAGAUAUGACUGCAGGGCUAUAUGACCUUUUAGUUUAUAUCCCAUUUGAGUACCCUAAUUCUUGAAAAAUGGAGAAUUUACAUGGAAAUAAGAUAUGACUGCAGGGCUUGUAAUAAAAGACCUAAACAUAUCUUUAAAGUAGAUAUAAAUCAGAUUUUAUGUAAAGGAGAGUUUAUAUAAUAAUGUUUGGAGAUUUUACUACAUUCAUUAGUUCAAAAUGAUAUAAUAAUGAGAUUUAGAACUAAAACAUAUGCCUAUCACAUUUCUUGAAAAUUGGACCACCUGAAUUAAUUUGAAUAUGUUUGCAUGACUUAUCUGCAUAAUGAUGAUUAACGGAUAUUCAUAAAUUUAAAUGUAUAUAAGACAAUACACAUCUUGUUAUCGAAUUGCUUCUAAGUCUAGGAUUUAAUAAUCAAUACUCCUCUACUGACCUUAAUGAUAUAAUUUAAACAUUAAAUAGAGUCAAACAUUAAAAUAUAUAAUAUGGAGGAAAAACUGGAAAAUAACAUAAAACCUUCAAUAAAGAGUGUCCCUAUUCAAUAUAGUGAUGCUUAGCUUUCCUGCAAAUAUAAGAUUGAAGAAGGGCAAAAAUAAGACUUUGUUGAAUUAAAGAACACUGAACAAAUGAGACUUUAAUGAGACCUUUUGUGCAGGAAUUAUGCUACUGAGAUAGAGUAUAUAACAAUAAGAUCAAUAAGUUUAAAUACCAAGUUUGUCCAAGAUUUAUGCUACUGAGAUGGAGAUAAAAAGAAUGUAAAUUUCACAGUCAAGAAGACAUGUCCAUAAAAUCAUGGUAAGAAUGUACAUUACUGCAUGAUAAAACAGUAAGCAUGGAUACACAUAUAGCAAGAUAUUUAUCAAACUUCAUAAGAUUUUCUUAUAAAGUCCACUUUUGUGCAGGUAUUAUACUACUGAAGAAGGAGAUAAAAGAAAGGAAAUGAAUGUCAAGAAGAUCUUUUAAAAGCAUGGGAAAAACUGGAUUGGAAACUGCGAAUGUACAAAUAAGUACUCAUUUGCAGAUAUAAAUUGCAUAAUAUUUCCAAGGCAAGAUGAUACUACUAAUAUUUAGUAGGCUGUACACUUUUCUCCAAAUUACUAUACAAAGGGGAUUUCUUAUUUGGUCA